AAGGAUAAGCGCUGAAAGCAUCUAAGCGCGAAGCCUACUCCAAGAUGAGUAUUCCCUAAGGGUCGUUCAAGAUUAGGACGUUGAUAGGUCAUAGGUGGAAGUACAGUGAUGUAUGGAGCCGAGUGAUACUAAUUACCCAUGAGCUUCCUUUUUUCUUUUUUAU
This 163-nucleotide ribosomal RNA is filed under the name Saprospiraceae bacterium. RNAcentral's name for it is "partial 23S ribosomal RNA". It matches the Rfam family "Bacterial large subunit ribosomal RNA", at positions 2759 to 2925 of the family's 2925-position model. Lineage: Bacteria; Pseudomonadati; Bacteroidota; Saprospiria; Saprospirales; Saprospiraceae. The record is from RNAcentral.